This 468-nucleotide ribosomal RNA is filed under the name uncultured bacterium. Its description in RNAcentral is "partial 16S ribosomal RNA". It matches the Rfam family "Bacterial small subunit ribosomal RNA", at positions 28 to 507 of the family's 1533-position model. The record is from RNAcentral.
GACGAACGCUGGCGGCAUGCUUAACACAUGCAAGUCGAACGGAAAGGCCCUGCUGUUUUGGGGUGCUCGAGUGGCGAACGGGUGAGUAACACGUGAGUAACCUGCCCUUGACUUUGGGAUAACUUCAGGAAACUGGGGCUAAUACCGGAUAGGAGCUCCUGCUGCAUGGUGGGGGUUGGAAAGUUUCGGCGGUUGGGGAUGGACUCGCGGCUUAUCAGCUUGUUGGUGGGGUAGUGGCUUACCAAGGCUUUGACGGGUAGCCGGCCUGAGAGGGUGACCGGCCACAUUGGGACUGAGAUACGGCCCAGACUCCUACGGGAGGCAGCAGUGGGGAAUAUUGCACAAUGGGCGGAAGCCUGAUGCAGCAACGCCGCGUGCGGGAUGACGGCCUUCGGGUUGUAAACCGCUUUCGCCUGUGACGAAGCGUGAGUGACGGUAAUGGGUAAAGAAGCACCGGCUAACUACGUG